UUUUUGCAUCGCUGUGAACAGCUUGUCCUCACGGAAUCGAGAGUCUGUUUCACCUGUGGCUUUGUCUGUUCCCGACGGCCGUAAGGUGGCCAGUUCUUACGAGCAUCCUCCUGGCCAGGUUGUGAGCGAGGACAGGUGGUAAGGCUGGUAGAUUGAUGGAAGGAGAGCUGAUUGCCUUUGGAAGCAUACCUGCUGUAUUUUACACUCGUAAGGAGGAAAUGACUGGCUUCUCUACUGACCCAACCUGAUGUCAACUGCUAACCCAACAGCAGCAGAAACACAAAAGCCACUGACGAUGAUGACAACGAUGAUUAUGAUAAUGAUGAGAACGAUGAUGAUUAUGACGAUGACAAUGAUGAUGGUGAAGAUGAUGAUGAUGAUGAUGUGGGACACACAGCCGUGAACAGCGACCCCAGAGCAGGGGGCUUCCGGCCGGAGGCUGCACCCCUGUCAAAUAUCUGUGUGGGCCCCCAAGUCCCCAGGCCUGGAGCUCUUUAUAUCACCCACCUGCAGCAAGCUCUACACAAACACCAGAGCUCUCCAAACACAUGCAUUUAUUUUCACGGUUAUUAUGUCCUUUAUUCCCACCUCACAUGGUGGACCACCGCUGCUGACAAACACAACUCUUUAAAGCCCCCCCCUCUAAAAUACAGCAUGUUGACACGGAGAAAGAAACGACAACGCAUAAGCCCUUGGCAUGUGCGAUAUCCUGUUUUUUUUUAAUUUUUUUGAAAAACUGAACAGAAGAGAGAAAAAAGAAGAACACAUUAAUUCAGCAAUAAAAGCUGGUGUUGACUAUUCAUUUAGGACAUUGUUUAAUGUUGUGCUUUUCCGUUUCAUCCAGCAAUGAACCAAAGCGUAAAUAAAGGUGAACUAUUAUGUGUCAUAUCUAAUCUGUACUUAGCUCAUAGUUUAUGGGGCGUUUUACUGACUGAAGAGAAUGCAUUUUACAAUGCAUUAAACUGUCCCGUU
Molecule: long non-coding RNA, 972 nt
Organism: Conger conger (European conger)
Lineage: Eukaryota; Metazoa; Chordata; Actinopteri; Anguilliformes; Congridae
Exons: 3
Source: RefSeq, a predicted model, not a curated record